RNAcentral lists this ribosomal RNA (253 nucleotides) under uncultured bacterium. Its description in RNAcentral is "partial 16S ribosomal RNA". It matches the Rfam family "Bacterial small subunit ribosomal RNA", at positions 524 to 776 of the family's 1533-position model. The record is from RNAcentral.
UACGAAGGGGGCUAGCGUUGCUCGGAAUCACUGGGCGUAAAGGGUGCGUAGGCGGGUCUUUAAGUCAGGGGUGAAAUCCUGGAGCUCAACUCCAGAACUGCCUUUGAUACUGGCGACCUUGAGUCCGGGAGAGGUGAGUGGAACUGCGAGUGUAGAGGUGAAAUUCGUAGAUAUUCGCAAGAACACCCGUGGCGAAGGCGGCUCUCUGGGACGGUACUGACGCUGAGACGCGAAAGCGUGGGGAGCGAACAGG